CUUCGAAGAAUAGUCAGUAUUUUAAAUCAGUGGACAGCAUCAAAGGACUCUCGCGAAGGGGAUGAUGUGAUGGAAGAAAAUUAUGCGAUUGAUGUAAAUAUUGGUAGACUGUUGGCUUGCUGUUGUAAACAUAUAAAGAAAAUAUUAUAAAAAGAACUGCCUCCUGUGGCAUGCCCGGAGAAAUGGCAAAAUUGGGUAGGUAGAAGAAUGUGUAUGCCUCUUCAAUGCCUUAAAGAGUGAUUUUAGCUGCUAUAACUGUACCUCGAGUUUCAACCUGUAUUAUGGAUGCCAGAGUUUUGAAACGCUUGGCUUAUAUUUUGGAACCCAUUUAUCCUGAUACUUGACUUCAGUUCUUUAGGAAAACUAAUGACCUAACCAUAUUAUAAGUAGUUUCCUUUCUGUCC
Molecule: unclassified non-coding RNA, 404 nt
Filed under: Hevea brasiliensis (rubber tree)
Lineage: Eukaryota; Viridiplantae; Streptophyta; Magnoliopsida; Malpighiales; Euphorbiaceae
Source: RNAcentral